UACGUAGGGAGCAAGCGUUAUCCGGAAUUAUUGGGUGUAAAGGGUGUGUAGACGGGAAAAUAAGUUAGUUGUGAAAUCCCUCGGCUCAACUGAGGAACUGCAACUAAAACUGUAAUUCUUGAGUGCAGGAGAGGAAAGUGGAAUUCCUAGUGUAGCGGUGAAAUGCGUAGAUAUUAGGAGGAACACCAGUGGCGAAGGCGGCUUACUGGACUGUAACUGACGUUGAGGCUCGAAAGCGUGGGGAGCAAACAGG
This 253-nucleotide ribosomal RNA is filed under the name uncultured Eubacteriales bacterium. Its description in RNAcentral is "uncultured Clostridiales bacterium partial 16S ribosomal RNA". It matches the Rfam family "Bacterial small subunit ribosomal RNA", at positions 524 to 776 of the family's 1533-position model. Lineage: Bacteria; Bacillati; Bacillota; Clostridia; Eubacteriales. The record is from RNAcentral.